Molecule: RNA transcript, 3263 nt
Organism: Homarus americanus (American lobster)
Lineage: Eukaryota; Metazoa; Arthropoda; Malacostraca; Decapoda; Nephropidae
Gene: Flo2
Gene name: flotillin-2-like
Exons: 11
Source: RefSeq, a predicted model, not a curated record
UCUCCUACAGGCGGAUGUUGUGGUGCCACCUCGAAGAAGACCAUCGUGGGCGGGUGGGCGUGGGCCUGGUGGUUUGUGACCGAUGUCCAGAGACUCUCCCUUGAGGUGAUCACACUGAACCCACGGUGCGAGAAUGUAGAGACAUCUUUGGGUGUGCAGGUGACGGUGACAGGUGUGGCCCAGGUCAAGGUCAUGAAGGAAGACACUGUGCUCAAGAUUGCCUCCGAGCAGUUCCUGGGCAUGAGUCAAGAUGAUAUUAAGGGCACCAUCCUCAUGACUCUGGAGGGCCACCUUAGGGCCAUCUUAGCCACACUGACCGUUGAGGAAGUGUAUCAGGAUCGUGACCAGUUUGCUCAGCUUGUACGAGAAGUUGCUGGCAUGGACGUUGGCAGAAUGGGCAUUGAGAUCUUAUCCUUCACCAUUAAGGAUGUGUAUGACCGUGUGGAGUACCUCUCGUCCCUGGGCAAGUCUCAGACGGCAGCAGUGAAGAGAGAUGCAGACAUUGGUGUGGCUCAGGCCAACAGGGAUGCUGGUAUUAAGGAAGCUGAGUCAGAAAAAACAGCAAUGGAUGUGAAGUACAACACAGACACAAAAAUUGAAGACAACGCCAGAAUGUACAAACUGCAGAAGGCCCAGUUUGACCGAGAGAUUAACACUGCAAAAGCAGAAGCCCAACUGGCUUACGAACUUCAAGCAGCGAAAACACGACAGAAAAUCCGAAACGAGGAAAUUGCAAUUGAAAUUGUGGAAAGGAGAAAGCAAAUUGAGAUUGAAGAGCAGGAAAUCAAACGCAAGGAAAAGGAGUUGAUGGCCACUGUGCGUCUCCCUGCUGAGGCUGAGAGUUACCGUGUGGAAACUAUUGCUCAAGGUAGACGUACUCAGACUGUGGAGGCAGCCAGGGCUGAGGCCGAGAGGAUAAAGCGCAUUGGUGAGGCAGAAGCUUAUAAUGUUGAGGCUGUUGGUAAGGCUGAGGCAGAGGGCAUGAAGAUGAAGGCUCUGGCUUAUAAACAGUAUGGAGAGGCUGCAAUUAUGUCCAUGGUGCUGGAGAGUUUGCCCCAGAUUGCUGCUGAAAUUGCUGCUCCACUGGCUAAGACAGACGAAAUUGUGAUGGUUGGUGGAGGUGACACCAUGACUAAUGCCAUCACCAAGAUGUGUGGUGAGCUUCCUCCUUCCAUCCACGCCCUCACCGGUGUUGACAUCUCCAAGGUGCUAGCAUCAGUUCCAGGAGCUAUGGUCACACCAUCAACUGCCCCACCACGAGUUGCACCCACUGCCGUGUAACAACCUCACCUGACACAUAAACUCAGUGAUAGCAAUGAGAAGAUGAGAGGCAAGGACGACGAGCACUACAGGUAUUUUGGCCCAUCAUUGAAGAAAUCCAUUAAUGAGUACAUCCACAGGCAAACUCUUUCUUUGUGAAAUAGUGGAAGAAGAAGACAAAAAUUUACUUCUCAAGUUAGUAGAGGAGGACAAGCUUUUACAAAGAAUGGAAUAUAUUUAUGGACAGAUCCCACCAGUGCCUGUGCAAGUUCCAGUGUGUGGCAUUAUAUUCACUAUUAUACAGUAGCUGUUUCCAAAGUACAAUGAAACCUCUAUUUAACGGAAGAUAUGGAGAGGAAAGUCCGUUAUAUUGAGAGUUCAUUAAAUGUGAAACCUUCAUCUAACAAACUAUAUAGAGAUGAAAAUAUGUUCUAUCAAGGGUCCAUUAGAUAUGAAAUUUCCCAUCUAACAGAUUACUUGGAGCGAAAAGUCCUUUAUAUGGAGGUUUCAUUGUAUGAGUACUUGCCAGUAUUCCUGUAAUGUGUAGUGCUUCAAUAUAAUAAUGUUAUUACAUGACAGUCUAUUUAUGGUUCAUAUGUACACCAGUCUUUUGAAAUGGUGCCAUGUACCUUGUAUUUGUAUAAUGAUGCUUAAAUAAGACACACACUUACAUUUGCUGUCUUCCUCUUAUGGUGGACAAGUGAAUAAAGAUAACUAACUUACCUUCAACUGAGACUCCUAUAUCUAACAUUCAGAUAUUCACAUCAGCUCAAAAGUCAUGUCAUACAGCAGUAUUUAUUUAUUCUAUUUUAUCUUUAGCCUCUAAAUUUUGUAGUGUAUAAAUGACACUUUUAUGCCAAAUGUUUCCUCAUCUUUAAAAUCCUAUUUCUGUAAUGUAUUUUCAGAAUUUUAUUUCUUUUAGGGUGGAAGGAGAGUCAGUACUUCUUUAUAUGAAUAUCUACACUUUUCACAAACUCAUCGUUGGUGCCUUCCCACAUAAAGGGAUUCAAAAAAUUCUUUAAUGCAGAAAAUGCUACUUUUUAACUUUAUAAAAUAGCUUAAAAAUAACUAGAUGCCAGUCAGCUAGUUCUGUAACUGAGAGAAUGUGCAACUACCUCUGCCAGGACUGUGGUUGCAUGUUAACACUAAUCCUGGUUAUGUGUACUGGAACAAUAGCCCAUAUUCUAAAGCAGCACAUAGGUGCAUUAAAAAUGUAAUAUAUUUUAUAUGUACUAUUCCCGUAUGCCCACAAUUGGUGGAACAUGUGCACUUAAAGAUUAAACACAUCACAAAAUGUAAAGGGGAUCUAGAUUUGCCUUAAACAUAGAUGACAAUAAAUUAAAUUUGUUAGAAGACAUUGGCAUACUCUGUAAAAGAACACCAGUGUAACUUAUCAGUAAAAUGAGGGCUUAAUACAGUCAAUACAGUCAACAAUAUUUUGUGUAACUUCGAGUGUUUAAAAAAUUAUUAAUAUACAUAUAGCCUGCAAUGUGUAAACAUGAAUGAUGCUCUCACAUAAAUGCUUAUUGAUUUUCAGUCCUUCAGCACCACAUAUACUGUAUUAGGCAAUGCUUACAUAACAGAAAACAAAAAUUCUUGCAAAGGUAAUUUGUUUGUGAAUGCUUCCCUGGUCAUGAGUGUUGUUUGGAAUCUGGGCCAAAAUAUUGUAUGUACUGUACUGUAGUUACUGUUUGUAUGCAAUUAUAGGAGGAAAAUACUCUUGACUGCUGCACAGAACACAUGUGAAGAGAUUGAUAAUUUUGAUACUUCUCAUUUAUGACUGAGGUUUAUUGCUUGUAAACAAUGAAGAUGUAGGUUUAUAUUGUGUUUAGUAGGAUGAUAUAUGAUACCGUAUUGUAUAUUAAUUGCAUGAACUCUUAGCUUAAAGAUAUUAUAAUAGAUGAAAAAUUUCUUUAUUUGUUUUUCAAAAGAACUUAAUCAUGUAUCCUCUCACAUGUCAUUAUUAUCAGUGUAAAUGUUCAUGGUAUUAAACAGGAUCAUGA